This 253-nucleotide ribosomal RNA is filed under the name uncultured bacterium. RNAcentral's name for it is "partial 16S ribosomal RNA". It matches the Rfam family "Bacterial small subunit ribosomal RNA", at positions 526 to 779 of the family's 1533-position model. The record is from RNAcentral.
CGUAGGUGGCGAGCGUUAUCCGGAAUGAUUGGGCGUAAAGGGUGCGUAGGUGGCAGAUCAAGUCUGGAGUAAAAGGUAUGGGCUCAACCCGUACUUGCUCUGGAAACUGAUCAGCUAGAGAACAGAAGAGGACGGCGGAACUCCAUGUGUAGCGGUAAAAUGCGUAGAUAUAUGAAAGAACACCGGUGGCGAAGGCGGCCGUCUGGUCUGGAUUCUGACACUGAAGCACGAAAGCGUGGGAGCAAAUAGGAUU